AAGCCUACCAAGGCAACGAUCAGUAGCCGGCCUGAGAGGGUGAACGGCCACAUUGGGACUGAGACACGGCCCAAACUCCUACGGGAGGCAGCAGUGGGGAAUAUUGCACAAUGGGGGAAACCCUGAUGCAGCGACGCCGCGUGAGUGAAGAAGUAUUUCGGUAUGUAAAGCUCUAUCAGCAGGGAAGAAAUACUGACCAUAGGGUCAGCAGACGGUACUUGACUAAGAAGCCCCGGCUAACUACGUGCCAGCAGCCGCGGUAAUACGUAGGGGGCAAGCGUUAUCCGGAUUUACUGGGUGUAAAGGGAGCGUAGACGGCAGCGCAAGUCUGAAGUGAAAUGCCAGGGCUUAACCCUGGAACUGCUUUGGAAACUGUGCAGCUAGAGUGCAGGAGAGGUAAGUGGAAUUUCUAGUGUAGCGGUGAAAUGCGUAGAUAUUAGGAGGAACACCAGUGGCGAAGGCGGCUUACUGGACUGUAACUGACGUUGAGGCUCGAAAGCGUGGGGAGCAAACAGGAUUAGAUACCCUGGUAGUCCACGCUGUAAACGAUGAUUACUAGGUGUUGGGGGACCAAGGUUCUUCG
This 583-nucleotide ribosomal RNA is filed under the name uncultured bacterium. Its description in RNAcentral is "bacterial SSU rRNA". It matches the Rfam family "Bacterial small subunit ribosomal RNA", at positions 261 to 842 of the family's 1533-position model. The record is from RNAcentral.